This 468-nucleotide ribosomal RNA is filed under the name uncultured Pelotomaculum sp. Its description in RNAcentral is "bacterial SSU rRNA". It matches the Rfam family "Bacterial small subunit ribosomal RNA", at positions 916 to 1382 of the family's 1533-position model. The record is from RNAcentral. Lineage: Bacteria; Bacillati; Bacillota; Clostridia; Eubacteriales; Desulfotomaculaceae.
GGGGCCCGCACAAGCGGUGGAGCAUGUGGUUUAAUUCGACGCAACGCGAAGAACCUUACCAGGGCUUGACAUCCCCUGACCGCGUAUGAAAGUACGUUUUCACCCUCGGGUGACAGGGAGACAGGUGGUGCAUGGUUGUCGUCAGCUCGUGUCGUGAGAUGUUGGGUUAAGUCCCGCAACGAGCGCAACCCCUACGUUUAGUUGCUAACGCGUGAAGGCGAGCACUCUAGACGAACUGCCGUUGACAAAACGGAGGAAGUGGGGAUGACGUCAAAUCAUCAUGCCCCUUAUGUUCUGGGCUACACACGUGCUACAAUGGCCGGUACAGACGGACGCAAAGCCGCGAGGUGGAGCAAAUCCUAAAAAGCCGGUCUCAGUUCGGAUUGCAGGCUGCAAUUCGCCUGCAUGAAGUCGGAAUCGCUAGUAAUCGCAGGUCAGCAUACUGCGGUGAAUACGUUCCCGGGCCUU